GCCUGGGGGGCUCAGUCGGUUAAGCGACCGACUUUGGCUCGGGUCACAAUCUCACGGCUCGUGGGUUCGAGCCCCACAUCGGGCU
Molecule: transfer RNA, 85 nt
Filed under: Felis catus (domestic cat)
Lineage: Eukaryota; Metazoa; Chordata; Mammalia; Carnivora; Felidae
Rfam family: tRNA
About the family: Transfer RNA (tRNA) molecules are approximately 80 nucleotides in length.
Source: Rfam by way of RNAcentral